This is a small nucleolar RNA of Callithrix jacchus (white-tufted-ear marmoset), 138 nucleotides long. The record is from Ensembl. NCBI's taxonomy places the organism in Eukaryota, Metazoa, Chordata, Mammalia, Primates, Cebidae.
AUCCAAGGUGAUUCCCUCUCCAAGGGGACACCCAGUGCCCCUCUCAGGAAAGUAGCAACUUGGAAUAGAAUCUGGCAUGCCUAAGGUCUUGGGAACAGGGAUGCUUAUUUCCUCUGCCUUCCUUGGCUGCUUACAUGG